Long non-coding RNA from Cyprinus carpio carpio, 670 nucleotides. The record is from Ensembl. NCBI's taxonomy places the organism in Eukaryota, Metazoa, Chordata, Actinopteri, Cypriniformes, Cyprinidae.
AAAGUACAACCCCUGAAAAUGGCAAAAACGACACAAAUUUUGCAGAGAAAAUUCAAAAUAACUGACUUCCUGUUGGGAUUCGAAUUUCGUACCAAGAGACUUUUUUGUAGGUAUUGGUGUGUUACAUGUGUGUACCGAUUUUUGUACAUGUAUGUGAAACGUAGCUCGAGGCGCACUCCGUUGAAAGUGUAUAGGUGGCGCUAUCGAGGCAUUUUGCCACACCCGAUGGAAUAUUGGCCUUCAGAUGUGUUCAGGCCAGGACUCUUAUCAAACAUGUGAAGUUUGGGCAAGAUCGGACAUUUUAUGCCUGAGUUACAAUAACUUUUAUUCCCAUGGCGAGACAUCGAACUUUGUGACGGCGCCAUGGACACGCCCUUUAACGAAAACUCAAGAUCUUCACAAUUUAACAUCGCACAGGCCUUUAGAAUAGAGUGACUGAAAAAAAAAAUGUAUGUCAUAAAAUUUCUCGGGGUAGUUUGUUACAGUGUAAAAUAUGUCACUUCCUGUUGCCAGUAGGUGGCGCUAUGACUAUAACUGAAUAUGGGCAUAUCAAUCUGUUCAGGUCAGGAGUCUUAUCAAACAUGUGAAGUUUGUGGCAGAUUGGACAUUGUAUGUCUGAGUUAUAGCAACUUCAUUUUUCAUGGCGAAUCAUCGAAAUUCGUCAGGCCGC